This 1126-nucleotide ribosomal RNA is filed under the name Klebsiella pneumoniae. RNAcentral describes it as "bacterial SSU rRNA". It matches the Rfam family "Bacterial small subunit ribosomal RNA", at positions 8 to 1125 of the family's 1533-position model. The record is from RNAcentral. Lineage: Bacteria; Pseudomonadati; Pseudomonadota; Gammaproteobacteria; Enterobacterales; Enterobacteriaceae. RNAcentral also lists the same sequence under 4 other names.
AGAGUUUGAUCAUGGCUCAGAUUGAACGCUGGCGGCAGGCCUAACACAUGCAAGUCGAGCGGUAGCACAGAGAGCUUGCUCUCGGGUGACGAGCGGCGGACGGGUGAGUAAUGUCUGGGAAACUGCCUGAUGGAGGGGGAUAACUACUGGAAACGGUAGCUAAUACCGCAUAACGUCGCAAGACCAAAGUGGGGGACCUUCGGGCCUCAUGCCAUCAGAUGUGCCCAGAUGGGAUUAGCUAGUAGGUGGGGUAACGGCUCACCUAGGCGACGAUCCCUAGCUGGUCUGAGAGGAUGACCAGCCACACUGGAACUGAGACACGGUCCAGACUCCUACGGGAGGCAGCAGUGGGGAAUAUUGCACAAUGGGCGCAAGCCUGAUGCAGCCAUGCCGCGUGUGUGAAGAAGGCCUUCGGGUUGUAAAGCACUUUCAGCGGGGAGGAAGGCGUUAAGGUUAAUAACCUUGGCGAUUGACGUUACCCGCAGAAGAAGCACCGGCUAACUCCGUGCCAGCAGCCGCGGUAAUACGGAGGGUGCAAGCGUUAAUCGGAAUUACUGGGCGUAAAGCGCACGCAGGCGGUCUGUCAAGUCGGAUGUGAAAUCCCCGGGCUCAACCUGGGAACUGCAUUCGAAACUGGCAGGCUAGAGUCUUGUAGAGGGGGGUAGAAUUCCAGGUGUAGCGGUGAAAUGCGUAGAGAUCUGGAGGAAUACCGGUGGCGAAGGCGGCCCCCUGGACAAAGACUGACGCUCAGGUGCGAAAGCGUGGGGAGCAAACAGGAUUAGAUACCCUGGUAGUCCACGCCGUAAACGAUGUCGAUUUGGAGGUUGUGCCCUUGAGGCGUGGCUUCCGGAGCUAACGCGUUAAAUCGACCGCCUGGGGAGUACGGCCGCAAGGUUAAAACUCAAAUGAAUUGACGGGGGCCCGCACAAGCGGUGGAGCAUGUGGUUUAAUUCGAUGCAACGCGAAGAACCUUACCUGGUCUUGACAUCCACAGAACUUUCCAGAGAUGGAUUGGUGCCUUCGGGAACUGUGAGACAGGUGCUGCAUGGCUGUCGUCAGCUCGUGUUGUGAAAUGUUGGGUUAAGUCCCGCAACGAGCGCAACCCUUAUCCUUUGUUGCCAGCGGU